Molecule: long non-coding RNA, 440 nt
Organism: Limanda limanda (common dab)
Lineage: Eukaryota; Metazoa; Chordata; Actinopteri; Pleuronectiformes; Pleuronectidae
Exons: 3
Source: RefSeq, a predicted model, not a curated record
GCCCCCCCCCCCCCCACACACACACACACACAAACAAAGAGGCGUUAGGCUGAGACGCUGAAAGUCCGGAUUUAAAGUGCAGAAAAUUAAGCCAUUGAAUCUGCCUGUCCAUGACGUACAAAGACACACUAUGAGCCAGUAUGAUCCGACCAGACCUUACAUCAGCAUUGAGGAGUUGUCGGAGAAGAAAGAGGCUGAUUGAAGCGGGACAGAUGACAUGGAUCCAUCCUUCCACAGCCAGGAGCGCACCGACCUGUGUGCCACACUUCAUAUAAGACUGGAAGCUACACUGAUCUCACAGCUACACACCACAGACGUCUACACACUGGAGAAGAGUCCCACAAAGAAGUCAUGACCCAGAGGCUGCAGAGAAACAUUUCAAGCCUCAUCUGAGUUUUUGUACAAUAUUUUUGCUGUAUGUAAAUAAAGCUUUCACUCCA